Molecule: transfer RNA, 60 nt
Filed under: Cricetulus griseus (Chinese hamster)
Lineage: Eukaryota; Metazoa; Chordata; Mammalia; Rodentia; Cricetidae
Rfam family: tRNA
About the family: Transfer RNA (tRNA) molecules are approximately 80 nucleotides in length. Their secondary structure includes four short double-helical elements and three loops (D, anti-codon, and T loops). Further hydrogen bonds mediate the characteristic L-shaped molecular structure. tRNAs have two regions of fundamental functional importance: the anti-codon, which is responsible for specific mRNA codon recognition, and the 3' end, to which the tRNAs corresponding amino acid is attached (by aminoacyl-tRNA synthetases). tRNAs cope with the degeneracy of the genetic code in two manners: having more than one tRNA (with a specific anti-codon) for a particular amino acid; and 'wobble' base-pairing, i.e. permitting non-standard base-pairing at the 3rd anti-codon position.
Source: Rfam by way of RNAcentral
GUGGCUCAGAGGUUAAGAGCACUGGCUGUUCUUUCAGAGGUUCUGGGUUCAAUUCCCAGC